Molecule: non-coding RNA, 285 nt
Filed under: Loigolactobacillus backii
Lineage: Bacteria; Bacillati; Bacillota; Bacilli; Lactobacillales; Lactobacillaceae
Description: Lactobacillus backii T-box sequence
Rfam family: T-box leader
About the family: Uncharged tRNA acts as the effector for transcription antitermination of genes in the T-box leader family. T-boxes are found upstream of many aminoacyl-tRNA synthetase genes and some amino acid biosynthetic genes usually in Gram-positive bacteria.
Source: RNAcentral
AAAAACAUGAAGAAGAGAAGAGUACUCACUUAGGCGUGAUUAGAGAACAUCGGUAGCUGAGAAGAUGCCACGUUAGGUUGAGGAAGAUGGUCUUGGAGUGGUGUCUACCGGUAUUUAGUAGACAACGAUUAGCGUUCGUUAUAGCGGUACAUUUUUACUAGAAUACGUCCCGCAACUAUUUUUGUUAGUCCGGGACCAAAAAUUUAUAAAACCUAUUCUAUAAAAGUGUUUUAAGUGGCAAUGUUAAUUGCAAAUAAGGUGGUACCGCGCAGAAGCGUCCUUUUC